Molecule: long non-coding RNA, 370 nt
Filed under: Lytechinus variegatus (green sea urchin)
Lineage: Eukaryota; Metazoa; Echinodermata; Echinoidea; Temnopleuroida; Toxopneustidae
Description: uncharacterized LOC121425471
Source: RNAcentral
CGCCAGCGAAAAGAUGUUUGAAUUUAUAUAAUAUCAAUAUUGAAAGCGUUUAAUUAUUUGAAUUUAUUUCCCUUCAUUUAUUUAGGACACCGUAUAGAAUGACAUACGAUAUUUUUGUUAUGCAAAUUAAGUCCACUUAGUGAAGUUCGGUGCAUAGGUGCGUUGACGUGUCACUCCAUUUUUGAAAGGUUCAGGAGUCAGACGCCAGUAUCGGCCUCCGCAGUUUGGGGGAAACUUUCUGUUGUUUAAUGUGAUUUAAACGUGGUUUUAUGUCCCGCCAGAAAAGAAUCGAAUAAAAUAUACGUUUAACGACGUUAUAUAUCGGUACGGCGGGAUGUGACGGUUUGUGUUCCUUCUUUCGACUAUCCAC